UUCGUAGGCGGUUAUUUAAGUCAGGUGUGAAAGGCAUAGGCUCAACCUGUGUAAGCACUUGAAACUGAAUGACUUGAGUUAAGGAGAGGAAAGUGGAAUUCCUAGUGUAGCGGUGAAAUGCGUAGAUAUUAGGAGGAAUACCAGUGGCGAAGGCGACUUUCUGGACUUAUACUGACGCUGAGGAACGAAAGCGUGGGAGCAAACA
This 205-nucleotide ribosomal RNA is filed under the name uncultured Tissierella sp. RNAcentral describes it as "partial 16S ribosomal RNA". It matches the Rfam family "Bacterial small subunit ribosomal RNA", at positions 568 to 774 of the family's 1533-position model. The record is from RNAcentral. Lineage: Bacteria; Bacillati; Bacillota; Tissierellia; Tissierellales; Tissierellaceae.